ACGGCAUGAUUGAUCCGCAUGAUCGAUCCGCGGUAUCGAUCCGUGAUCGAUACCGUGUGAUCGAUACCUCACGUUGCUAUCACUUCGUUCAAAGACUCGAAACUUCUGGUCUCUUCGUCUGCAGUUUGUCGAUCUCAAACUCCUCGACCUCCUCCGGCGAUCUAUUCUCGGAGAUACAGGAGCAUGCUCCGGGGUGAACCGUACCUCAUACUUGUUUGCCAAGCUUGAGAUGAAUUCAUUAGCGACGCUUGCUGUGAAAUUGGCUAGAGUAAGCCCGCCCGGCCCUGCCCGUCCGAGCGAAUAGAAAAUCUCUGCUCCAUUUUGGGGGCAAAGACGCGGUUAUGCAGUUAGGGGUGGUUCACAGCGGAGGCAAGGAUCCAGGGAGGCAGAGAUGAUACAUGUAUGUGCGAAGCUUGACGGGGUCGUACUCGCACUUGAGGCAACAACGCUACAAGUAGGACCCUGCGACUGUAAGGGUCCUCUGUGGGGAAUUUGAGUAAUCGUACGACUUCUCCACACAUGCCAGAAACGUCUGUACAGUAUGUCACUGACCCUGCGUGAACUCGAGACUCUGUUUUCUGUUUUCCCCCUUCUUUGCUUCCUGCAAAAAGCGUGAGAAAAGGGGGGCGAGACGCUGGAUGUCCAGGCUUGUACUGGUUUCCGCGCCCUCGUAUUCCGCAGCUAUGUCGGAAGCUGCUAUCUGUGGCUCUCUUGUCAAAAAGGGAAAAAAUGAACAGUUUUCGUGCAUGAAAAUUAAACCUACCAGUGGUCCGCGUCUGAAUACGUGACGAUAAAGUGUCAGAAGAAGACCAGCCGAGGUUGGAAGGGUUAGUCGGGGUGCAGGUUUCAGAGGACAUAGCUUGUUGGGUUCAAGACAUGUCAAAGGUCGGAGGGUCAAAGGUCGGAGGCCGGAGGGUCAGAGGUCGGAGGUCAGAGGUCGGAGGUCAGAGGUCGGAGGUCGGAGUGUUGGAGAUGUGCCUGAUGAAGGUUUUGCGUAUAGCAGACUAAACGCCGUCUGUGGCGGUUCCAACGUAUCGGGGAGUGUUGGAUGUUUGAUCAAAUGGGUGAAGAACUCCGUCGGAUUGUUGUUUGUGUUAUUUCGAGCAUUUUGGCUGGUUAUUAUGGACGCAUUCUCCUUAACGCACAGGCCGCUUUCUACAUAUGCAGACCCCAAUUAAGGUGAUACAGCAUGGUGGAGAU
This 1200-nucleotide unclassified non-coding RNA is filed under the name Yarrowia lipolytica. The record is from RNAcentral. Lineage: Eukaryota; Fungi; Ascomycota; Dipodascomycetes; Dipodascales.